AAUGAGAUGACUCUGUGGUCG
This 21-nucleotide non-coding RNA is filed under the name Mus musculus (house mouse). Lineage: Eukaryota; Metazoa; Chordata; Mammalia; Rodentia; Muridae. The record is from RNAcentral.